RNAcentral lists this ribosomal RNA (117 nucleotides) under Ignavibacteriota bacterium. The record is from RNAcentral. Lineage: Bacteria; Pseudomonadati; Ignavibacteriota.
CUUGGUGAUAAUAGAGAGGGGGUCACACCUCUUCCCAUCCCGAACAGAGAAGUUAAGCCCCUCAUCGCCGAUGGUACUACUACCGAAAGGUUGUGGGAGAGUAGGACGUCGCCAGGG